GCUGGGCAUGGUGGCGCAUGCCUUUAUUCCCAGCUACUUGGGAGGCUGAGGCAGAAGAAUCACUUGAGCCUGGGAGGUGGAGGUUGCAGUGAGCUGAGAUCACACCACUGCACUCCAUCUUGGGCAACAGAGUGAGACUUUGUCUCAA
This is an unclassified non-coding RNA of Pongo abelii (Sumatran orangutan), 148 nucleotides long. It matches the Rfam family "Metazoan signal recognition particle RNA". From Rfam's summary of the family: The signal recognition particle (SRP) is a universally conserved ribonucleoprotein. It is involved in the co-translational targeting of proteins to membranes. Lineage: Eukaryota; Metazoa; Chordata; Mammalia; Primates; Hominidae. The record is from Ensembl.